This 479-nucleotide long non-coding RNA is filed under the name Panax ginseng (ginseng). Its description in RNAcentral is "long non-coding RNA (PGIN_LNC012206)". The record is from RNAcentral. Lineage: Eukaryota; Viridiplantae; Streptophyta; Magnoliopsida; Apiales; Araliaceae.
UCUUUUUCACCACACAAUUUGAAGUUGGGGUUUCGUUUGAAAUUAAGUUUAAUUAAAACCCCUUAAAGGUUAAAGGAAAGGAGAAUGGUAGUCGGCCAUAGGGUGGGUGGGUUUGGCCGUCGGUCGACCGUGUGAAAAAACACGCCGAGCCCGAUUGGGAUCGGAGAGACUGGAAUUAAUUAUAAUGAUGAGAUCAAAGAAAUGAUAAGGUGGAGCUAGGGAUAAUUAACUAAAAUAAUAGUGGUAAUUAAGACACCUUCCGAAACUGCGGGAGUGUAUUAAUUUCCUUAGUAUAUGUGCGUUGUUGUAUAUUUAGGUUUUGGUUUGACGGAUUCAGGAGAGAGAGAGAGAGACUUUUUCCGAUUGUUUUGGAUAAAAUAGAGGUUCAAAUGGAAGUUAAAGGUUGAGCUGUUGAGUGACUACAUUAGAGAGAGAGAGAAAUGUGGACAAAAUUUUAGUUGAGUUUUAGCGGUAUUUAA